RNAcentral lists this ribosomal RNA (107 nucleotides) under Minisyncoccota bacterium. Lineage: Bacteria; Bacillati; Minisyncoccota. The record is from RNAcentral.
UCUGGUGAUUUGACGCGGUGGUCACACCUCUUCCCAUUCCGAACAGAGUCGUUAAGCGCCGUAGUACUGAUGAUACUCCUUGUGGGGAAAGUAAGUAGUCGCCGGAA